UUUUGUUCUGCGCUGAUCCAUCCUUUCAGCUCUGACACUAUUCCGUCAGACUCGGAAAUCUGUGUGACCAUAUCGAGCAACCAGACCCAGAGGGGCAUACAGGGGAGGUUACGGGUUGGCAGCAAGGAGAGACUGACUUUAUUUGGACAAGUCCAGCUGAACCCUUCGCAAUCAGGUCACCAAGCAAUAAAAGUUAGAGCUAAUUUCACCCACCAGCUCCAGGUAGACCAACCCCAAAGUUAUUAAACUGUGUGAAGUGCUCAGUAGUAUGAUGGUGAUUGUAGUCAACAGUACAAUAAGUACAGUACAAUAGUUUACAGUAGAAGAGGCCAAACUUGUGACCAGUUUGCUGUUAUUGCUGUUACAGCUGCAACUCCCCUCCUCUGCUAUAAUGGAGGGAGAUGUAUGUUGGAACCCCAAAAACAACACAGGCUUUGAUUAUCAGACCCGAGGCAAGCUGAGAAUAGAGCGCCAGGAGUGCCAAGUGAGUAAAGCAAACUUCAAAUUUGAAUUGGUGUUUGUUUAACCUGUAGCGUUUCUGAUAAAGUUGGGUUUUUUUUUUAGCUUUCUGUGCAGCUAAAUGGGACAUCAGGCAGAGUCGGACUCUAUUUGUCUCUCAUUCAUCCCUUCAAAUCAAAGAUUCCCAAAACAUUAGAGGUUAAGGCCGCUGCAGACAUGCACACGGUUCCUGGUAAAGGGAACAGCUUCAUACAUGUGAGGGCUGAUGGGAAGGACAGGGUGAAGCUGGAUGUACAGAUGUCCCACUUCCUCAAGAGGGAAGACAGAGCUGUGAGACUGAGGAUGAACUUAUCCCAGAGCUUGCUGCCUGUGGCCAACAACCUACAUGUCAACAUGGCUGCCAGCAUGUCUUCAAAUAGUGUGUCUCUACAUGGCUCUUAUACACAGGAACAUGAGACUCUGCUGGCUCAGAUGAAAAGCUCACUAAACAAUACCCCGGGUCUGCAGCUGGCUGUGUCAGGAGACCUGAGGCACUCCAUGACCAACCUCGCUAUGCUUCCUCCAGUUCUGGAGCUGGAUGGAGCUCUGGGACAGUCUGACACCCUCCUCGAAGGCCAGUUAAGAGUUAGAGUAAUGGACACCUUGUACAGUGUUGAGCUGAGGCAUCAAGAGGAUUCUGGAGAAUAUUUGGACAAAGAAGAAGAAGGCACGGUGGGAAAAAGGUCACACAGGGUCUGUGAUUGGUUGUGUGUUUGGUCGGGCCAGGAGAAUUUGUGCGUGAAUGUGAGCCGCCAACAUGGGAAUCAAGGGAGGGGUGAGGUCUACGCACGACUUUCUCACUCUUUCCGCCUGCUUACAGUCAAAGGUGUACCUGCCAACAACAGUGUCCAGGUGAGGUGGGGCCUGGACAGUGGUCGACUGUCAGUCCUGGCGGAGCUGCAGGCAGGACCUGAACAUCUAAAUGCAGAAUUCAAUGGCGGCAAAACAGGUCAUCUUGUCCCACAAUGGGAGUACUUCUCCAGGCUGCAGCACAGAGUCAGUGCCCUGCUCAGUCGAGGCCUGUCAAGCUGCAUUGAAGCAAAAGCACACUACAAGUUAGAAGCAGCAGGUCUGGACACAGGACUGGUACUUCUUGUGGAAGAUGAGAGGAUGGUGGACAUACUUUUUAAUAUCGGAUCAAAAAACGGCACAGCUAUGGUGGUAGUGUCCCUAUGGCAACAGAUGGAGCUAUUGCAGGGACUUAUACCUGCCUCUUUAGAGAUGAACUGCACAGGGGACGCCACUGCAGAACGACUCUCGGCUCAGUGCUAUGGAAAUGUGGCAGGUCGCCCUGUGGAGACUCUUCUGCCCCCACAGACCUCAGUCAACAUCUCAAUCACUCGUUCUGGCAGGUCCACAAACCUCAGUACCAUUUUUCAGGCUGAGGGGAAACCGAAAGGCAGUCUUAUUCUGAACAUAACUUCCCACCCCGGUCUCAGCCUGAAAGCAUCGGUCCAACACUCUAUAGAGGCAAUGCAGACGCUGGCAUUUCCCUCUCAUGGAGCAAUGAUCCUGAAUGUCUCAACUGCACAUGUGCCUGGUGUGGAGCUUGGCCUGGAGCUGGGACGUUGUUAUUUCAGGGGUAAAUUGGGGAAGACAAAGUCAACAGAAGGAGACCAGUCUUCUUACGCUGUCAAUGUGACCAACUACUGUCUUGCUCUACAGGAAACAGUCCUCCCGGUGUUCUUGACUCUUCAGGGUCUCCUGUCAGUCUCCCCCUGCGAGCUGAGGUUAAUCUCCUCUCUGAGGGCAGACAACCAAGACCUCUCCCUGGAGCUGAGUCAGUCCUGUAGGCCUCAGCGCCUCUCUGGGACCCUCACUCACUCCUUCUCUGGGCUAAGGAGUGGAGGUCUGCCGCAGACCAUCAGCAUAGAGGCUGUAGCUCCUGGAGGCCGUGAGCAGACUCACAGUCUGUUCAUCAAGGUUGGGACAUGUCACAUUAGGGCCAACAGAGUCACAGAAGCCACAGGCAGGACACAGUGGCUCUGGGCUCUGGAGUCCAAGUGUCCGAUGUUACAGGCCCAUUUCAACGGGUCAGUGGGGCAGGACCCUGCUGGUGUCUGGACGGCUGUGAUGGACACUAAUCUGGAGAGAAAAAGGGGUUUUGUGAGGCUCAGUGCAAAGGCCUGGCCAGAUGCAAGUGUAGAGAGUGAGUUCAGUCACAACAUCCCUGAUUUCAGAGGUUUACCUGAACACAGCAGAGUGAGAGUGACCAGCAGGACAGGACAGCAAUACAAUGCUGAAGCCCUAGUUCAGAUGGACGAAUGUGCAGUCAGAGCCACUGGAGCUGUGAUGUUGCAGCCUGGCCUGCAGGGGUCACUGGUGUAUCACAGCAACUGCUCUGUGAUUCAGGUAAAGCGAUCAUACCCUAUAUAUAAAUACUACAUUACCACAUUAAUUAUUACACAG
RNAcentral lists this long non-coding RNA (2907 nucleotides) under Mastacembelus armatus (zig-zag eel). RNAcentral describes it as "lncRNA (ENSMAMG00000003006.2)". Lineage: Eukaryota; Metazoa; Chordata; Actinopteri; Synbranchiformes; Mastacembelidae. The record is from RNAcentral.